Molecule: ribosomal RNA, 2846 nt
Filed under: Schmidtea mediterranea
Lineage: Eukaryota; Metazoa; Platyhelminthes; Tricladida; Dugesiidae
Description: bacterial LSU rRNA
Rfam family: Bacterial large subunit ribosomal RNA
Source: RNAcentral
UUGGUUCUGAGAGGCGAAGAAGGACGUGGUAAACUGCGAUAAGCUGCGGUAAGCUGAAAACAAGCAUUAUACCCGCAGAUUUCCGAAUGGGGCAACCCACUUGAUUGAAGAUCAAGUAUUUGUAGCAAUACAAAAGCUAACCCGGAGAACUGAAACAUCUAAGUACCCGGAGGAAAAUAAAACAAUACAGUGAUUCCCUAAGUAGUGGCGAGCGAAAGGGGAACAGCCCAAAUCGUAAUAGCGUGCUAUUGCGAGGUUAUAGGGCCGCAUUUAAUGAGUUAUAUCAAGCUGAAUUUUCUGGAAAGAAAAGCAACAUAAGGUGAUAGCCCUGUAAGCACAAAUUAUAACAAGUGAGCGGUACCCUGAGUAAUGCGGAACCGGAGAAAUUCUGCAUGAAGUCACCAGCACCAUCUGGUAAGGCUAAAUACUCCUCAGAAACCGAUAGUGAACUAGUACCGUAAGGGAAAGGUGAAAAGUACUUCGAAUCAGAAGAGUGAAAUAGUACCUGAAACCGUACGCCUACAAGCGGUCGGAGCAACAUUAUGUUGUGACGGCGUGCCUUUUGCAUAAUGAGCCUACGAGUUGUACUUCACUGGCGAGGUUAAGUUUUUAAGCAACGAAGCCGUAGCGAAAGCAAGUCCAAAUAGGGCGAUUUAGUCAGUGGAGACAGACGCGAAACUUUGUGAUCUAUCCAUGAGCAGGUUGAAGGUGUAGUAAAAUAUACUGGAGGACCGAACUCAUAAACGUUGAAAAGUUUUGAGAUGACUUGUGGAUAGGGGUGAAAGGCCAAUCAAACUGAGAGAUAGCUCGUUCUCCCCGAAAUGUUUUUAGGAACAGCCUUGUAUAUUGAGGUGUGAUAGAGGUAGAGCUACUGAUUGGGUGAGGGGGUGUCAAAGCCAGCCAAGCCCUAACAAACUCCGAAUGCUAUCACAUAUCUACAGGAGUGAGGCUGUGGGCGAUAAGGUCCAUGGCCAAAAGGGAAAUAACCCAGACUAACAGUUAAGGUCCCUAAGCGUAUGUUAAGUUGAUCAAACGAAGUUAGAAUCCUAUAACACCCAGGAUGUUGGCUUGGAAGCAGCCAUUCAUUUAAAGAGUGCGUAACAGCUCACUGGUCGAGGAUUCUUGCACGGAAAAUAAUCGGGCAUCAAACAUACCACCGAAACUUUAGACUCAUACUAUGUAUGAGUGGUAGGGGAGCAUUCUAAACUGCAUCGAAGGUGUUGGGUGACCAAUGCUGGAGCGUUUAGAAAAGAAAAUGUAGGCAUAAGUAACGAUAAAUGUAGUGAAAAACUAUAUCGCCGCAAGUCCAAGGUUUCCUGAUCAACGUUAAUCGAAUCAGGGUUAGUCGGGUCCUUAGGAAUACCCGAAAGGGGAAUCUGAUGGCAAAUUGAUUAAUAUUUCAAUACUUGCUUUAACUUCGAUGGGGUGACGGAGUAGUGAAAGGUUCGCGAACAGACGUAAUAGUUCGUUAAAGCGUGUAGUUAUAUUUGUUGUAGGUAAAUCCGCAAUGAAUGAUGAACGUGAUAGUACCACAAGUUUUCGGAUGAGUGGAUAGUAACCCUAAACAAACUUCCAAGAAAAACCUCUAAGUUAUGGUUAAAGCAACCCGUACCGUAAACCGACACAGGUGGACGAGAUGAAUAUUCUAAGGCGCUCGGGUGAGCCGUGGAGAAGGAACUAGGCAAAUUAACGCUGUAACUUCGGGAUAAAGCGUACCGCAGUGAUGCGGUCUCAGUAAAAUGGUUCAACCAACUGUUUAACAAAAACAUAGGGCUCUGCAAAAUCGCAAGAUGAAGUAUAGGGCCUGAUACCUGCCCGGUGCUGGAAGGUUAAGGAAGGGGGUUCGGCGCAAGCCAAAGCUCUUGACUGAAGCCCCAGUAAACGGCGGCCGUAACUAUAACGGUCCUAAGGUAGCGAAAUUCCUUGUCGGGUAAGUUCCGACCUGCACGAAUGGUCUAAUGAGUUGAACGCUGUCUCCUCCACGAGCCCGGUGAAAUUGUAGUAUCGGUGAAGAUGCCGGUUACCCGCCACGGGACGGAAAGACCCCGUGAACCUUCACUACAACUUUGCAUUGAUUUUGAGUAACAAAUGUGUAGAAUAGUUGGGAGACUUUGAAGUGGUGGCGCUAGACAUCAUGGAGUCAACGUUGAAAUACCAACCUUUUGUUGCUUAGAGUCUAAUCCUUGAAAAUGGAAACAGUGCAUGGUGGGUAGUUUGACUGGGGUGGUCGCCUCCUAAAAAGUAACGGAGGCUUGCAAAGGUUCCCUCAGUACGGUUGGUAAUCGUACAUAGAGCGUAUUAGUAUAAGGGAGCUUGACUGUGAGACAGACAAGUCGAGCAGGGUCGAAAGACGGCUAAAGUGAUCCGGUGGUUCUGCAUGGAAGGGCCAUCGCUCAAAGGAUAAAAGGUACUCCGGGGAUAACAGGCUGAUCUCCCCCAAGAGCUCAUAUCGACGGGGAGGUUUGGCACCUCGAUGUCGGUUCGUCACAUCCUGGGGCUGGAGAAGGUCCCAAGGGUUCGGCUGUUCGCCGAUUAAAGUGGCACGUGAACUGGGUUCAGAACGUCGCAAGACAGUUCGGUCCCUAUCUGUGGUGGGCGCAAGGAGAUUGAGAAGACAUGACCUUAGUACGAGAGGACCGGGUCGUACAUACCUCUGGUGUAUCAGUUGUGCCGACAGGUGCAGUGCUGAGUAGCUACGUAUGGAAAGGAUAAACGCUGAAAGCAUCUAAGCGUGAAACCUGCUUCAAGAUGAGUCUCCUCUUAAGGGCCGUAGAAGACUACUACGUUGAUAGGCUAUAGGUGUAAAGGUAGUAAUACCAAAGCUGAGUAGUACUAAUUGCCCGUGA